RNAcentral lists this unclassified non-coding RNA (198 nucleotides) under uncultured fungus. RNAcentral describes it as "sequence contains ITS1". The record is from RNAcentral. Lineage: Eukaryota; Fungi.
GUAUAGAUUUCAUUGCCACGACAUUCUAUCAACAUACAUUGGGGUAAAUGAAGCAACAUAGACCCUAUGAGGGGUCUACAAAAAGUGCACAGGUGGAGAUAUAAAGAUGACAAGGCGUGCACAUGCUCCCUAGAGAGCCAGCAACAGCCCAUCAGGUUUAUUUCAAUAAUGAUCCUUCCGCAGGUUCACCUACGGAAA